Salvia miltiorrhiza (redroot sage) is the source of this 600-nucleotide long non-coding RNA. RefSeq lists it as uncharacterized. Lineage: Eukaryota; Viridiplantae; Streptophyta; Magnoliopsida; Lamiales; Lamiaceae. The record is from RefSeq and is a predicted model, not a curated record. The transcript is spliced from 2 exons.
UGCAGGCUAGCGAGGACCGACUUCGGGUUGACGGCAGCGGGGAGGGAGUCCUUGAUGGUGUUGACGGCGUUACGCAUCAGCUCGCGUGCGUACUGCUAGCGUCGACACCUUUCUUCGCCCAACCGCCAACGCCGUCGAUCCUUGGAUUGCAUGACCACGAUGGAUUGUGAAUGGAGACAACGGCCUCGGCGCGGAAGGCUCCACUAUUGGAGGCGUUGAAGCCAUCAAUGGCAGUGUUGCGAACGAGGUGGCGCCACAUGAAGAUGAGGAUUAUGUAUAAAUUCUUUGGCAAGUAAAGAUUUCUUUAGAGUUUUGGGACUUACUUAUGCUCGCAGCUUGUGGUCAAUGACUCAAGCUAGAAGGGUGAUGUGUUUGCUGCUUGGAGCACGUUUAUGAACUUUGUUUAAUAAUUUGUUUAAACAAUCAGUAGAAAGACCUUAGUUCUUGAGUAAUAGAGAAUAUGACUAUGUUAUGUCCGGAUAAGGACAAAAAUCGAGAUGCACAUAGGUUUUGGAUGCAUAAUGCAUAAGUGGCCAAACAUGGCGUUCAUACCAAACUUCAUCCGCAGUAUUAUUUUGAGUAUACAUUAAACUUAUAUCA